ANNAGNNNNACUAUANUGNGACNUCUCUGUCNUUCUCCUGCAGGAGAAAACGUGUGAAGGUUUCUGGGCAGGAUUAUCAUUGCUGUUUCCUGUUGCCAAUGCCCCUUGACCACCUUUAGGAAAGAGUGGAUCUUACCCUGGAAAAAACGAUAUGUUCGGAAUUUAUGGGGUUUUUAUAAAAAAGGUUCCCAAAAAAAAAUGUUCAUCCAACCCCCCCCCAAACCGACCAUUCAAAAAAGGGAUUUUAAUUUUCCAUCCCCGAAAUGACUGGGAAAUCUCAUUUACUCCUUACCUAACCCCCGGUGGAAGGGUUACUACAAAAAAUUCAAGUGUCAUCCAGGAUAUAGCGCGUUUGCGCAGAAGCCUUCGGAUUGUUAGCCGUUUCUUUUGGGAGGAAGGGCCUUGACCUACCACCCUGUUGUCCUGACGCCCCCUCUCCAAUCAGCACCGGCUUACCACUGUGCCAGCCCUUCUUGUAAUACCCGAGGGGGGCAAGCGUUAAUCUUACUUCCUGGGCCCAAAAGCGCGCGCAGGCUGCUCCCCUAAGAAGAUGUGAAAUUCCCGAGGUUCCCUUUGGAAACUGCAUUCUCACUGACAAGUUAGAGUUGGCCACAAGGGUGGGGGAAUUCCCUCGUGUACCGGUGAAAUCCGAACAAUAUCGGAAGGAAAACCAUUGGCGAAGAGAGACCCCCUUGGUUUCCCCCUUAAGCCCAAGGUGGGAAAAACUGGGCAGGUCAAAGGGUUUUACUCCCCCUGGAAGUCCGAUCCCUAAAGAAUUGCCACCCCCGUCUUCGGGUCCCUGAGCUCUUAGUGGCUCCUCUCACGUCUUCUUGAGAGCGCGUGGGCGUGUCGGUCCCCGUCUAUAAGACUAAGUNAAUUNCAUAAANG
Molecule: ribosomal RNA, 888 nt
Filed under: Eubacterium sp. JF08-3
Lineage: Bacteria; Bacillati; Bacillota; Clostridia; Eubacteriales; Eubacteriaceae
Description: partial 16S ribosomal RNA
Source: RNAcentral